RNAcentral lists this unclassified non-coding RNA (351 nucleotides) under soil metagenome. RNAcentral's name for it is "partial contains 5.8S ribosomal RNA, internal transcribed spacer 2, and large subunit ribosomal RNA". The stretch from base 1 to 120 matches the Rfam family "5.8S ribosomal RNA", at positions 35 to 154 of the family's 154-position model. The record is from RNAcentral.
GAUGAAGAACGCAGUGAAAUGCGAUAAGUAAUGUGAAUUGCAGAAUUCAGUGAAUCAUCGAAUCUUUGAACGCACAUUGCGCCCGCCAGUAUUCUGGCGGGCAUGCCUGUUCGAGCGUCAUUACAACCCUCAGGCCCCCGGGCCUGGCGUUGGGGAUCGGCGGAGCCCCCCGUGGGCACACGCCGUCCCCCAAAUACAGUGGCGGUCCCGCCGCAGCUUCCAUCGCGUAGUAGCUAACACCUCGCGACUGGAGAGCGGCGCGGCCACGCCGUAAAACACCCAACUCUUCUGAAGUUGACCUCGAAUCAGGUAGGAAUACCCGCUGAACUUAAGCAUAUCAAUAGCGGAGGA